UACGUAGGUCCCGAGCGUUGUCCGGGUUUAUUGGGCGUAAAGCGAGCGCAGGUGGUUUAUUAAGUCUGGUGUAGAAGGCAGUGGCUCAACCAUUGUAUGCAUUGGAAACUGGUAGACUUGAGUGCAGGAGAGGAGAGUGGAAUUCCAUGUGUAGCGGUGAAAUGCGUAGAUAUAUGGAGGAACACCGGUGGCGAAAGCGGCUCUCUGGCCUGUAACUGACACUGAGGCUUGAAAGCGUGGGGAGCAAACAGG
RNAcentral lists this ribosomal RNA (252 nucleotides) under uncultured bacterium. Its description in RNAcentral is "partial 16S ribosomal RNA". It matches the Rfam family "Bacterial small subunit ribosomal RNA", at positions 524 to 776 of the family's 1533-position model. The record is from RNAcentral.